GUUCUGGAUUACUGAAACUUUGGUCUGAUGAUAGAAGUUGGGAAGUAUUUAUGAAUCCUGUGCCACUUUUAUAUCAUUAUUCAGAUAUGAAGAAAGGGAAAAAGUAAAUACAAGGGAAGAGACUUUGAUGUAACACAGUGUUUGGAAUGCUUAAGGUAGUCUAGGCAGAGAUGGAUGAAUGAGGCAAGCAAAGGUGGAUGAUAAAUGCAAUUUAUUUCCUUACCACAUAUAUGGUACAUACUUCUUUAAGAUCAGUCUGGCAGUGCCCCAGGAUGCAUAACUGCAUAGCCUGCCCUUUAUGAAGAGUGCCCUUACUGUCAGGAAUGCAACUGGCUAUGGAAGUUCUAUAUUGGUUCUUCUAGGAUCUGCAG
Long non-coding RNA from Passer domesticus (house sparrow), 371 nucleotides. RefSeq lists it as uncharacterized. The record is from RefSeq and is a predicted model, not a curated record. The transcript is spliced from 3 exons. Lineage: Eukaryota; Metazoa; Chordata; Aves; Passeriformes; Passeridae.